RNAcentral lists this ribosomal RNA (446 nucleotides) under uncultured bacterium. Its description in RNAcentral is "SSU rRNA". It matches the Rfam family "Bacterial small subunit ribosomal RNA", at positions 26 to 518 of the family's 1533-position model. The record is from RNAcentral.
AGAGCGAACGCUGGCGGCAGGCUUAACACAUGCAAGUCGAGCGGGCGUAGCAAUACGUCAGCGGCAGACGGGUGAGUAACGCGUGGGAACGUACCUUUUGGUUCGGAACAACCCAGGGAAACUUGGGCUAAUACCGGAUAAGCCCUUACGGGGAAAGAUUUAUCGCCGAAAGAUCGGCCCGCGUCUGAUUAGCUAGUUGGUGAGGUAAUGGCUCACCAAGGCGACGAUCAGUAGCUGGUCUGAGAGGAUGAUCAGCCACAUUGGGACUGAGACACGGCCCAAACUCCUACGGGAGGCAGCAGUGGGGAAUAUUGGACAAUGGGCGCAAGCCUGAUCCAGCCAUGCCGCGUGAGUGAUGAAGGCCCUAGGGUUGUAAAGCUCUUUGUGCGGAAGAUAAUGACGGUACCGCAAGAAUAACGCCCGGCUAACUUCGCGCCAGCAGCCGC